UUGAACGCUGGCGGCAUGCUUUACACAUGCAAGUCGAACGGUAACAGGGUGCUUGCACCGCUGACGAGUGGCGAACGGGUGAGUAAUAUAUUGGAACGUACCUAGUAAUGGGGGAUAACUAUCCGAAAGGAUAGCUAAUACCGCAUACGCCCUGAGGGGGAAAGAGGGGGAUCGCAAGACCUCUCGUUAUUAGAGCGGCCGAUAUCAGAUUAGCUAGUUGGUGAGGUAAAGGCUCACCAAGGCAACGAUCUGUAGCGGGUCUUAGAGGACGAUCCGCCACACUGGAACUGAGACACGGUCCAGACUCCUACGGGAGGCAGCAGUGGUGAAUCUUGGACAAUGGGCGCAAGCCUGAUCCAGCAAUGCCGCGUGCGUGAAGAAGGCCUUCGGGUUGUAAAGCUCUUUCAGACGGAAAGAAAUCGGGCGCGUGAAUAGCGUGCCUGGAUGACGGUACUGUCAGAAGAAGCACCGGCUAACUACGU
RNAcentral lists this ribosomal RNA (482 nucleotides) under uncultured bacterium. RNAcentral's name for it is "bacterial SSU rRNA". It matches the Rfam family "Bacterial small subunit ribosomal RNA", at positions 30 to 506 of the family's 1533-position model. The record is from RNAcentral.